RNAcentral lists this ribosomal RNA (433 nucleotides) under uncultured bacterium. RNAcentral describes it as "partial 16S ribosomal RNA". It matches the Rfam family "Bacterial small subunit ribosomal RNA", at positions 29 to 507 of the family's 1533-position model. The record is from RNAcentral.
AACGAACGCUGGCGACAUGCCUAACACAUGCAAGUCGAACGAGACCUUCGGGUCUAGUGGCGCACGGGUGCGUAACGCGUGGGAACCUGCCCUUAGGUUCGGAAUAACUACCCGAAAGGGGUGCUAAUACCGGAUAAUGUCUUCGGACCAAAGAUUUAUCGCCUUUGGAUGGGCCCGCGUUGGAUUAGCUAGUUGGUAGGGUAAAAGCCUACCAAGGCGACGAUCCAUAGCUGGUCUGAGAGGAUGAUCAGCCACACUGGGACUGAGACACGGCCCAGACUCCUACGGGAGGCAGCAGUGGGGAAUAUUGGACAAUGGGCGAAAGCCUGAUCCAGCAAUGCCGCGUGAGUGAUGAAGGCCUUAGGGUUGUAAAGCUCUUUUACCCGGGAUGAUAAUGACAGUACCGGGAGAAUAAGCUCCGGCUAACUCCGUG